Molecule: ribosomal RNA, 253 nt
Filed under: uncultured bacterium
Lineage: Bacteria
Description: partial 16S ribosomal RNA
Rfam family: Bacterial small subunit ribosomal RNA
Source: RNAcentral
UACGGAGGGGGCUAGCGUUGUUCGGAAUUACUGGGCGUAAAGCGCACGUAGGCGGCUUUGUAAGUUAGAGGUGAAAGCCCAGGGCUUAACCCUGGAAUUGCCUUUAAGACUGCAUCGCUAGAAUCGUGGAGAGGUGAGUGGAAUUCCGAGUGUAGAGGUGAAAUUCGUAGAUAUUCGGAAGAACACCAGUGGCGAAGGCGGUUCUCUGGGCAUGUCCUGACGCUGAGGAGCGAAAGUGUGGGGAGCGAACAGG